RNAcentral lists this ribosomal RNA (257 nucleotides) under uncultured bacterium. RNAcentral's name for it is "partial 16S ribosomal RNA". It matches the Rfam family "Bacterial small subunit ribosomal RNA", at positions 524 to 779 of the family's 1533-position model. The record is from RNAcentral.
UACGUAGGGGGCAAGCGUUUGUCCGGAUUUAUUGGGCGUAAAGAGCGUGUAGGCGGCCAGACAGGUCCGUUGUGAAAACUCGAGGCUCAACCUCGAGACGUCGACGGAAACCGUCUGGCUAGAGUCCGGAAGAGGAGUGUGGAAUUCCUGGUGUAGCGGUGAAAUGCGCAGAUAUCAGGAAGAACACCUAUGGCGAAGGCAGCACUCUGGGACGGUACUGACGCUGAGACGCGAAAGCGUGGGGAGCGAACAGGAUU